AACGAACGCUGGCGGCAGGCCUAACACAUGCAAGUCGAGCGCCCAGCAAUGGGAGCGGCAGACGGGUGAGUAACGCGUGGGAACCUUCCCGAUAGUACGGAAUAGCCCAGGGAAACUUGGAGUAAUACCGUAUACGCCCGCAAGGGGAAAGAUUUAUCGCUAUCGGAUGGGCCCGCGUAGGAUUAGCUAGUUGGUGGGGUAAUGGCUCACCAAGGCGACGAUCCCUAGCUGGUUUGAGAGAAUGACCAGCCACACUGGGACUGAGACACGGCCCAGACUCCUACGGGAGGCAGCAGUGGGGAAUCUUGGACAAUGGGCGCAAGCCUGAUCCAGCCAUGCCGCGUGAGUGACGAAGGUCUUCGGAUUGUAAAGCUCUUUUGCCAGGGACGAUAAUGACGGUACCUGGAGAAUAAGCCCCGGCUAACUUCGUGCCAGCCGCCGCGGUAA
This 447-nucleotide ribosomal RNA is filed under the name uncultured bacterium. Its description in RNAcentral is "partial 16S ribosomal RNA". It matches the Rfam family "Bacterial small subunit ribosomal RNA", at positions 29 to 523 of the family's 1533-position model. The record is from RNAcentral.